AGUGAACGCUGGCGGUAGGCCUAACACAUGCAAGUCGAACGGCAGCACAGUAAGAGCUUGCUCUUACGGGUGGCGAGUGGCGGACGGGUGAGGAAUACAUCGGAAUCUACUUUUUCGUGGGGGAUAACGUAGGGAAACUUACGCUAAUACCGCAUACGACCUUCGGGUGAAAGCAGGGGAUCUUCGGACCUUGCGCGAUUGAAUGAGCCGAUGUCGGAUUAGCUAGUUGGCGGGGUAAAGGCCCACCAAGGCGACGAUCCGUAGCUGGUCUGAGAGGAUGAUCAGCCGCACUGGAACUGAGACACGGUCCAGACUCCUACGGGAGGCAGCAGUGGGGAAUAUUGGACAAUGGGCGCAAGCCUGAUCCAGCCAUACCGCGUGGGUGAAGAAGGCCUUCGGGUUGUAAAGCCCUUUUGUUGGGAAAGAAAAGCAGCAGGUUAAUACCCCGCUGUUCUGACGGUACCCAAAGAAUAAGCACCGGCUAACUUCGUG
This 492-nucleotide ribosomal RNA is filed under the name uncultured bacterium. RNAcentral's name for it is "partial 16S ribosomal RNA". It matches the Rfam family "Bacterial small subunit ribosomal RNA", at positions 29 to 507 of the family's 1533-position model. The record is from RNAcentral.